Molecule: ribosomal RNA, 492 nt
Filed under: uncultured bacterium
Lineage: Bacteria
Description: partial 16S ribosomal RNA
Rfam family: Bacterial small subunit ribosomal RNA
Source: RNAcentral
GAUGAACGCUAGCUACAGGCUUAACACAUGCCAGUCGAGGGGAAACGGCAUCGAAAGCUUGCUUUUGAUGGGCGUCGACCGGCGCACGGGUGAGUAACGCGUAUCCAACCUGCCCAUCACUUGGGAAUAACCUUGCGAAAGUAAGACUAAUGCCCAAUGACAUCCCACGAAGGCAUCCGAAUGGGAUUAAAGAUUUAUCGGUGAUGGAUGGGGAUGCGUCUGAUUAGCUUGUUGGCGGGGUGACGGCCCACCAAGGCAACGAUCAGUAGGGGUUCUGAGAGGAAGGUCCCCCACAUUGGAACUGAGACACGGCCCAAACUCCUACGGGAGGCAGCAGUGAGGAAUAUUGGUCAAUGGGCGAGAGCCUGAACCAGCCAAGUAGCGUGCAGGAUGACGGCCCUAUGGGUUGUAAACUGCUUUUAUAAGGGAAUAAAGUGGGUCACGUGUGACUUUUUGCAUGUACCUUAUGAAUAAGGACCGGCUAAUUCCGUG